Cyprinus carpio carpio is the source of this 394-nucleotide long non-coding RNA. The record is from Ensembl. Lineage: Eukaryota; Metazoa; Chordata; Actinopteri; Cypriniformes; Cyprinidae.
AUGGAAGUCCAGCAGAAGAUGUUGAUGCAAGAGAGAGUUCAUUAAAAGCAGGUUGGUGACAGCACCAUAAGGAGUCUGUGUUCCUGCACAAAGAUUAAGUGUGUGACAGUGUCUGUCGAGUUCAUAUUUCAAACCAGGAGACAUCCUCAGUUCCUGAGAAUAAACUCAGUAGGUUGUUUCAUUUAGAGUUCAGUGUAAGUAAUACUUAAAGGGAAAUUUGUACUAUCUGUGCUAUUAGCAGGAUCAAAUGGAAUAGCUAAAAUAAGGUUGUGUAUUUGAUCAAAUUUACCAAAUUUGACAUUAUUACAAUUAAAUUCUGCUUUUUAAACACCGGUCAGAAAUCGUUUAGAUUGAGAUUAAUUACAAAUCAGGAUUUUUUGUUUUCACACUAGAA